UACGUAGGUGGCAAGCGUUGUCCGGAAUCAUUGGGCGUAAAGAGCGCGUAGGCGGCCCAGUAAGUCCGCUCUGAAAGUCAGGGGCUCAACCCCUGAAUGCGGGUGGAUACUGCUGGGCUAGAGUCCGGAAGAGGCGAGUGGAACUCCUGGUGUAGCGGUGGAAUGCGCAGAUAUCAGGAGGAACACCAAUUGCGAAGGCAGCUCGCUGGACCGUUACUGACGCUGAGACGCGAAAGCGUGGGGAGCAAACAGG
RNAcentral lists this ribosomal RNA (253 nucleotides) under uncultured bacterium. Its description in RNAcentral is "partial 16S ribosomal RNA". It matches the Rfam family "Bacterial small subunit ribosomal RNA", at positions 524 to 776 of the family's 1533-position model. The record is from RNAcentral.